CUGAAACGUCAAUUUUCAACCAAAUGCUCUAUUAAGUGUGAACAACUGAACACUACUCUUGACAAAAUCAAAGUGAUAAGAUAUGGCGCAUGUUUAAGAAAAAAUUAAUUAAUUGUACAACUCGAAAAUACUAUUAAAGUUGCCUUUAUAAAUAUAUUACACACGAAUAUACACGUGACAAUUACUUGCGUGGAAAUAAAGCAGACGUAAAGGCCACCGAGUCCAAGUCGAUACUCGGUUUUCUUCCCUCUACUGGCCGAGUCAAAAUUUUCCGAUUUCCAGUGGCCAGAUUCACAAGUAAUAUGAUUUAUGCAGUAACUUUUUGCCUUUUUCUAUCACGCCUCCAUGAAUUCGAUCCCUUCUUCCGAACCAACAGCAGAGAGUACACAAUUUGCACUAGUAGUACACAACUCCACAUACCGGUUCUAGAUUUAUUGCACACAAAAUACAUGCCGAUAACAGUUUAAACCGUAAUCCAGAACUACAUACAUACAAACAGAAUAUUUAUGCGGUUAAUUGGGGAAGUGAUGGCGGCGGCAGAUUCAUCACUGGCGGCGGCGGCGGCGGCGGUUCACUGAUCCCACAGAGCAAUCGAGCUGCUUCCGGACUCAAAGAAGCUAGUGCCUCUCCCCAGUCCUUUAGAAUCUGAAUUUUGAUCCGAUUCUCUCCUCUUUUCGGAAUACGGUAAGCCAUUGCACUCAAAUCAAAUCGAUCUCAGUUUCCUGCAAAAUUAACAGUGAAUCUAAUUGAAUCUAGUAGGAAAAAGCCUCAAUGGUAAGGAUAUGGAUGAAAAGAAGGCAAUGAUUCCUAUACAUACAAAAUGGGAGCACCCAAUAACAAUUACCGUGUUGAUGUCACAAAAGGGUCCCACUAAAUUUUUGUACCGCCUUACAUUAAGAUUUUGUUUGGCCCUCAUUACAUAGCAAUUAUAACUUUUGGAAUAAUAUUUUUUUAGAUAACUUUUGGAAUAAUAUUUUUUUUGGAGAACUUAUAAUUAAAAAAGAUAUAAAAUUUUGGAUAAUGCUGGUUGUACAUUACCUUGUACAUCAGCUUGUCCAUAAUGCUGAGUUGGCAUUGUUUGAAUUUCAAUUUCUCGUGGCCAUUAAAGAAUGGGUUGAAAUUUUUGAUAGAAUUCCCAAAAGGCCCCUACCUCAUCCGAUUCCUCAAAACCUUCUCUUUGCACAAAAAAUCGUCACACAAUACUCUGUCCAAUUGAAAUCCUCUGACGAUCGACGACGAGUCAGCGACAAUGAGCAAAUCGACUGAGACAAAUGUACGACGGCAUCUUUAACUUGACUAUGCAUUGUUUUAAAAUGGUUUUCAUUUCUGUUUUGGUGGAUUUCAUCAUUUUUUUUGUUUUGGUCGGAAUUUUCGAAAUUCUAUACUUUGCUUUUCGCUGGACAUGAAAUGGAUAGAUUUCACUCCCUAUUUGCGUUUGUGUGGGCUGAAUCCUUUGCGUAUAUCUCAUCGAUGAUUCAAUUAUCGGAUAAUGUGAAAUGGUUUAGUGUUUGAGUAUUUGGAAUUGGAUUUUUUCUUCUUCUUCUUCUUCUUCUUCAUUAUUAUUAUUAUUAUUAUUAUUAUUAUUAUUAUUUUGUGAUAGCGUAUUGAUUUUGCCUUGGGUUGUUGUAAAUUUUGUAAUUUUCUGAGCUCUUUACUGUCCUUUUUCAAAAAAUAAUUGAGGGUUUCUUGUGGAUAAACAAUGGCGUUAAACGAAGAAGAAAAAGAGAUUAGAUUAGACUAACUGCUCUUAAUUUUCUCUUUAUGUUUUUGUGGAAUGCAUUUGCUUUUAUAUUUUUGUAUAGAUCCCCUGACGAGUUUCUUAUAUGUAGUUUGGUCUAUCAUCUAGAAUUAUGUCAAAAUAUAUGGUUGCCUUACAUAAACUGUCGUAUAUAAUCUAAAUCCUAUUCUUCUUAACUCAGGCCUAGUGAGAUGGUACAGUCUAACAAAGAAUACACCAAGGAGGAUGUAAGAGACCAAGUGGUUAAACGGAUCACAUUCGAGUCAUUAGAGCAUGGACCCUUUCACUUUCCUAGUUACAUGGUGAUAUUGAAGACAUUGAACGUAGUUUCUUCUAGCGGUAUCAACCAUUUCAUUGAAACAGUCGAAGAGAUGAAGAAUGAUUUCUUUAGUGCAAUAGCGGUACCUUUAGAAUUUCAGCAAUCAAAUGACAUUAUAUAGCUAGACAUUUUCAGUUUUCAAAUCUGUGGAAGUGAAUGUAACUCUUCAACCAUUAUGACACAACUAAAUUCUUUUUACGUUGCCUGCUUCUCAAGGUGAAAAUCAAUUGCCG
This 2290-nucleotide long non-coding RNA is filed under the name Olea europaea subsp. europaea. Lineage: Eukaryota; Viridiplantae; Streptophyta; Magnoliopsida; Lamiales; Oleaceae. The record is from RNAcentral.